Molecule: microRNA, 23 nt
Filed under: Tribolium castaneum (red flour beetle)
Lineage: Eukaryota; Metazoa; Arthropoda; Insecta; Coleoptera; Tenebrionidae
Description: Tca-Mir-29-P2h_5p (mature (co-guide))
Source: RNAcentral
UACUGAAUUUCAUGUGGGCUGCU